UACGAAGGGGGCUAGCGUUGCUCGGAAUCACUGGGCGUAAAGGGUGCGUAGGCGGGUUCUUAAGUCAGAGGUGAAAUCCUGGAGCUCAACUCCAGAACUGCCUUCGAUACUGUAGAGCUUGAGUUCGGGAGAGGUGAGUGGAACUGCGAGUGUAGAGGUGAAAUUCGUAGAUAUUCGCAAGAACACCAGUGGCGAAGGCGGCUCACUGGCCCGAUACUGACGCUGAGGUGCGAAAGCUAGGGUAGCAAACGGG
This 253-nucleotide ribosomal RNA is filed under the name uncultured bacterium. RNAcentral's name for it is "partial 16S ribosomal RNA". It matches the Rfam family "Bacterial small subunit ribosomal RNA", at positions 524 to 776 of the family's 1533-position model. The record is from RNAcentral.